Molecule: unclassified non-coding RNA, 285 nt
Filed under: uncultured fungus
Lineage: Eukaryota; Fungi
Description: sequence contains ITS2
Rfam family: 5.8S ribosomal RNA (bases 1-52)
Source: RNAcentral
AACGCACCUUGCGCUCCUUGGUAUUCCGAGGAGCAUGCCUGUUUGAGUGUCAUGGAAUUCUCAACCUCUAACACUUUUGUGAAAGAGGCUUGGACUUGGAGGCUGUGUCGGCGCAAGUCGACUCCUCUCAAAUGUAUUAGCGUGAAUCUUACGGAUCGCCUUCAGUGUGAUAAUUAUCUGCGCUGUGGGUGCUGAAGUACAAUAGUGUUCGUGCUUACAACCGUCCGCAAGGACCAUCAUUGACAAUCUGACCUCAAAUCAGGUAGGACUACCCGCUGAACUUAA